RNAcentral lists this ribosomal RNA (253 nucleotides) under uncultured bacterium. RNAcentral's name for it is "partial 16S ribosomal RNA". It matches the Rfam family "Bacterial small subunit ribosomal RNA", at positions 524 to 776 of the family's 1533-position model. The record is from RNAcentral.
UACGAAGGGUGCUAGCGUUGUUCGGAAUUACUGGGCGUAAAGCGCGCGUAGGCGGCUUAGCAAGUCAGGGGUGAAAUCCCACAGCUCAACUGUGGAAUUGCCUUUGAAACUGCUAAGCUUGAGUGUCGGAGGGGAUAGCGGAAUUGCUAAUGUAGAGGUGAAAUUCGUAGAUAUUAGCAGGAACACCGGUGGCGAAGGCGGCUAUCUGGACGACAACUGACGCUGAGGCGCGAAAGCUAGGGGAGCAAACAGG